RNAcentral lists this small nuclear RNA (23 nucleotides) under Arabidopsis thaliana (thale cress). RNAcentral describes it as "snRNA_13394". Lineage: Eukaryota; Viridiplantae; Streptophyta; Magnoliopsida; Brassicales; Brassicaceae. The record is from RNAcentral.
AGAGAUGUAGAGCUUUUGGGUCU